ACGGUCCUAAGGUAGCGAAAUUCCUUGUCGGGUAAGUUCCGACCUGCACGAAUGGCAUAACGAUGGCCACACUGUCUCCUCCCGAGACUCAGUGAAGUUGAAAUGUUUGUGAUGAUGCAAUCUACCCGCGGCUAGACGGAAAGACCCCAUGAACCUUUACUGCAGCUUUGCAUUGAACUGUGAACCGAUUUGUGUAGGAUAGGUGGGAGGCAGAGAAGAGGCCACGCCAGUGGUCUUGGAGCCGACCUUGAAAUACCACCCUGAUUUGUUUGCGGUUCUAACCACGGACAGUGAUCCUGUCUUGGGACCGUGCAUGGUAGGCAGUUUGACUGGGGCGGUCUCCUCCUAAAGGGUAACGGAGGAGUACGAAGGUACGCUAGGUACGGUCGGAAAUCGUGCUGAUAGUGCAAUGGCAAAAGCGUGCUUGACUGCGAGAGCAACAACUCGAGCAGAUGCGAAAGCAGGUCAUAGUGAUCCGGUGGCUCUGAAUGGAAGGGCCAUCGCUCAACGGAUAAAAGGUACUCUGGGGAUAACAGGCUGAUACCGCCCAAGAGUUCAUAUCGACGGCGGUGUUUGGCACCUCGAUGUCGGCUCAUCACAUCCUGGGGCUGUAUUCGGUCCCAAGGGUUCGGCUGUUCGCCGAUUAAAGUGGUACGCGAGCUGGGUUCAGAACGUCGCGAGACAGUUCGGUCCCUAUCUGUCGUGGGCGCAGGAUAUUUGAGGAGCUCUGUCCUUAGUACGAGAGGACCGGGAUGGACGUACCUCUGGUGCACCAGUUGUCAUGCCAAUGGCACGGCUGGGCAGCUACGUACGGAACGGAUAAACGCUGAAAGCAUCUAAGCGUGAAGCCGACUCCAAGAUUAGAUAUCCCAUUGCAUAAGCAAGUAAGACCCCUUGAGGACUACGAGGUUGAUAGGCUGCGUGUGUAAGUGUCGUGAGGCAUUUAGCUUGGCAGUACUAAUAGGUCGAGGGCUUGACCAC
Molecule: ribosomal RNA, 981 nt
Filed under: human gut metagenome
Description: bacterial LSU rRNA
Rfam family: Bacterial large subunit ribosomal RNA
Source: RNAcentral